This is a long non-coding RNA of Piliocolobus tephrosceles (Ugandan red Colobus), 444 nucleotides long. RefSeq lists it as uncharacterized. The transcript is spliced from 2 exons. Lineage: Eukaryota; Metazoa; Chordata; Mammalia; Primates; Cercopithecidae. The record is from RefSeq and is a predicted model, not a curated record.
AACUGUAUAUGUCAAUGACAUAGGAAAUAUAUUAAAAAAAAUUGAAUAUACAGAAAAUAGCAUUAUAAGAAAUGUAUUUAUUGAACAUGAUGUUAUAAAACAAAGUGAGUUUUAUUUUUAUCAAGUUAGAAAUAAGCGAAUAGAAUUAGAUAAAACUUUUAAAGAUUAUAAAAUCAAGCCAAAUGACAUUAUAUAUAUUUUACCUGUCCCACCUCCACUUACUUAUAUAAUUUAUUUAUUGCACCAAGCUACUGGAAAUGUUAAUUACUUCGAAUUAAACCAUAUGGAUACGGUAGACUUGCUACAAGGACAAGUUGAAAAAGAAAUGAAGAUAAAACAAAAAGAUCAAAUACUUAUCUACAAUGGAAAGUGUUUAAAUAAAAAAAAAACAUUAAAAGAAGAAAACUUAGACAGAGAGUCACUUGUUACGGUUUUAGAUAUAAA